AGUGGAAUCCGAGUCUUAAGC
Molecule: small RNA, 21 nt
Filed under: Brassica napus (rape)
Lineage: Eukaryota; Viridiplantae; Streptophyta; Magnoliopsida; Brassicales; Brassicaceae
Description: PsRNA_15
Source: RNAcentral